GCCUCCGUAGCUCAGGGGAUAGAGCACCGCUCUCCUAAAGCGGGUGUCGCAGGUUCGAAUCCUGCCGGGGGCGCCA
This 76-nucleotide transfer RNA is filed under the name Saccharopolyspora rectivirgula. RNAcentral's name for it is "tRNA-Arg". It matches the Rfam family "tRNA". Rfam says of the family: Transfer RNA (tRNA) molecules are approximately 80 nucleotides in length. Their secondary structure includes four short double-helical elements and three loops (D, anti-codon, and T loops). The record is from RNAcentral. Lineage: Bacteria; Bacillati; Actinomycetota; Actinomycetes; Pseudonocardiales; Pseudonocardiaceae. RNAcentral also lists the same sequence under 13 other names.